UUGAAUUUUCCGACCGGGCGGUUGCCAACAGAAACUUUUUUUAAUUGAAAAUCGGAUCCAUCACGCAAAAAAAUAUUCCCGUUAGAUGUACGUGAUUCAUCACUUGAAUUGGAAUUUGCCUUCCAUAUUCCUAGUUUAUCGGAUUCCGAUAAAAGCCUCUAAGUAAUUCGUAAUCUCUACGUGAUAUUCCCAUUCGAGUAACAUUUUGUCAUAUCCAUGCUACGUGAUUGGUCACGUAGAAUUUCAGUGUUGGGUGACAUAUCGAUUUUAAGUGACCUUCCUGUGUGAAAAAAUACCAAAACUCAAAAUGGCGCCGGACAAUCUUGCGGACCUGGACAUUUUUCGCAAAUUUUGGAGAUUUUCAAACAGUGCGAUAUAGGACUUAACGAGCUGUUGGCGCUGUUCCUGCAGGAUUUGGGAGUAGCUACUUGGAGCAGACGGGUACGGAGAUUCUUUUUUCGCGUAUCAAUCAGCUUGCGGAGAGAACGAAACAAAACACAGAAUGCCUACAGAAUGCACAAUGCUGCCCAACAGAAGUGCGCUUCAAAUGCCAUCGGAAGCGGUGGCAUCCGGUUUGUUACUGAAAAAAAGGAGAAGCCUUUGUAAUGAGAAUGAGAAAGUGUUUCUAUAUUUUGUUUUUUUUUUCAUAAAUCGAUCAAUAAAUCGGAAUGCUUUUAUUUAUUUA
Aedes albopictus (Asian tiger mosquito) is the source of this 685-nucleotide long non-coding RNA. RefSeq lists it as uncharacterized. The record is from RefSeq and is a predicted model, not a curated record. The transcript has 3 exons. Lineage: Eukaryota; Metazoa; Arthropoda; Insecta; Diptera; Culicidae.